Cricetulus griseus (Chinese hamster) is the source of this 179-nucleotide unclassified non-coding RNA. Ensembl annotates it as predicted gene, 27960. Lineage: Eukaryota; Metazoa; Chordata; Mammalia; Rodentia; Cricetidae. The record is from Ensembl.
CGCGCCGGGCUAAACUGGCGUGCGUGUGGCGAUGAGGGUCUUAAUGAAUUUGCAGCCGGCUAACCUCCCCGUGGUUAAACAACAUGGCAAACUCACGCUGGGAACACCCCGGAGGCAAUUUAGGAACAAAAAGUACCUUGAAGGAACGCCUACAGCGCUUUAAGUCUGCAAAUGAUUGU